GACGAACGCUGGCGGCGUGCUUAACACAUGCAAGUCGAACGGAAAGGCCCUGCUUUUGUGGGGUGCUCGAGUGGCGAACGGGUGAGUAACACGUGAGUAACCUGCCCUUGACUUUGGGAUAACUUCAGGAAACUGGGGCUAAUACCGGAUAGGAGCUCCUGCUGCAUGGUGGGGGUUGGAAAGUUUCGGCGGCUGGGGAUGGACUCGCGGCUUAUCAGCUUGUUGGUGGGGUAGUGGCUUACCAAGGCUUUGACGGGUAGCCGGCCUGAGAGGGUGACCGGCCACAUUGGGACUGAGGUACGGCCCAGACUCCUACGGGAGGCAGCAGUGGGGAAUAUUGCACAAUGGGCGGAAGCCUGAUGCAGCAACGCCGCGUGCGGGAGGACGGCCUUCGGGUUGUAAACCGCUUUCGCCUGUGACGAAGCGUCAGUGACGGUAAUGGGUAAAGAAGCACCGGCUAACUACGUG
This 468-nucleotide ribosomal RNA is filed under the name uncultured bacterium. RNAcentral describes it as "partial 16S ribosomal RNA". It matches the Rfam family "Bacterial small subunit ribosomal RNA", at positions 28 to 507 of the family's 1533-position model. The record is from RNAcentral.